RNAcentral lists this ribosomal RNA (1409 nucleotides) under Peltula steppae. Its description in RNAcentral is "LSU rRNA". It matches the Rfam family "Eukaryotic large subunit ribosomal RNA", at positions 37 to 1462 of the family's 3401-position model. The record is from RNAcentral. Lineage: Eukaryota; Fungi; Ascomycota; Lichinomycetes; Lichinales; Phylliscaceae.
AGCAUAUCAAUAAGCGGAGGAAAAGAAACCAACAGGGAUUGCCUCAGUAACGGCGAGUGAAGCGGCAACGGCUCAGAUUUGGAAUCUGGCCCCGCCCAGGGGUCCGAGUUGUAGUCUGGAGAGGAUGCUUCGGGAUUGAUCUGGGUCUAAGUCCCUUGGAAGAGGGUGUCAGAGAGGGUGAGAGUCCCGUCUGGCCCGGACCGAUUCCAUGGGUGAAGCUCCCUCGACGAGUCGAGUUGUUUGGGAAUGCAGCUCAAACUGGGUGGUAAAUCUCAUCUAAAGCUAAAUACCCGCCGGAGACCGAUAGCGCACAAGUAGAGUGAUCGAAAGAUGAAAAGCACUUUGAAAAGAGAGUUAAACAGCACGUGAAAUUGUUGAAAGGGAAGCGCUCGCGAUCAGACUUGCCCGCGGUCCCUCAGCUGACGGUCCCCCGUCGGUCCACUGGGCUUCGGGCAGGCCAGCAUCGGUCCAGGGGGUGGAAGAAUGACCAUGGGAAUGUGGCUCCCUUCGGGGUGUGUUAUAGCCCAAGGUACGGCGCCGCCCCCUCGACCGAGGCCUGCGCUCCGGCAAGGAUGCUGGCGUAAUGGUCGCCAGCGACCCGUCUUGAAACACGGACCAAGGAGUCUAACGUCCACGCGAGUGUUUGGGUGUCAAACCCCGACGCGCAAUGAAAGUGAACGGAGGUGGGAACCCGCAGGGGUGCACCAUCGACCGAUCCGGAAGUCUUCUGAUGGAUUUGAGUACGAGCGUGGCCGUUGGGACCCGAAAGAUGGUGAACUAUGCCUGAAUAGGGUGAAGCCAGAGGAAACUCUGGUGGAGGCUCGCAGCGGUUCUGACGUGCAAAUCGAUCGUCAAAUUUGGGUAUAGGGGCGAAAGACUAAUCGAACCAUCUAGUAGCUGGUUCCUGCCGAAGUUUCCCUCAGGAUAGCAGUAACGCGUGGCAGUUUUAUGAGGUAAAGCGAAUGAUUAGAGGCCUUGGGGUUGAAACAACCUUAACCUAUUCUCAAACUUUGAAUAUGUAAGAAGUCCUUGUUGCUUAGUUGAACGUGGACAUUCGAAUGUACCGUUACUAGUGGGCCAUUUUUGGUAAGCAGAACUGGCGAUGCGGGAUGAACCGAACGCGGGGUUAAGGUGCCGGAAUGCACGCUCAUCAGACACCACAAAAGGUGUUGGUUCAUCUGGACAGCAGGACGGUGGCCAUGGAAGUCGGAACCCGCUAAGGAGUGUGUAACAACUCACCUGCCGAAUGAACUAGCCCUGAAAAUGGAUGGCGCUCAAGCGUGCUACCCAUACCCCGCCGCCGGGGUAGAAACGAUGCCCCGGCGAGUAGGCAGGCGUGGGGGUCCGUGACGAAGCCUCGGGAGCGAUCUCGGGUCGAACGGCCUCUAGUGCAGAUCUUGGUGGUAGUA